This is a long non-coding RNA of Myotis lucifugus (little brown bat), 1272 nucleotides long. RefSeq lists it as uncharacterized. The record is from RefSeq and is a predicted model, not a curated record. The transcript is spliced from 3 exons. Lineage: Eukaryota; Metazoa; Chordata; Mammalia; Chiroptera; Vespertilionidae.
UUACAUCAGACGUGGUUUCAAAGCUGAAGUGCUGCAAAGGAUCUCAGGUUGACGCUAAAUGUCUCUUGUCCCCUGCGGGUGGAUUGCCUUCUUUAUGGGAGGGACCUGUGCCCUGUGGCUUCCAAGACAAAGACUUUCCUUUCUGCUGGGAAGCUGAGCUGUGUGCUGGCUCUCCGAGACACCGAUAAUUCUUGGAUUGGAAUGCCGUCUUUCCAGGGAUCCAGGAAGCCCAUGCCCAGGAGCCUCAGGGUCAGGGUGACUGCCCAGCCUCCUCAGACUGCAGAAACCUUUGGAUCCUCCCGCCUGCUGGAGGCUGCUCCGGAAUAAAGUCACCCUGAUGAACAGAGCUUAAGUUACAGUGUUGCAGUAGGAGAUUCAGGAGAAUCCACUUUGAAAGCGUCUCCCAAUUGAUAAUUCCAGGUUCGCUGAGCUCUAGAGGUACACUCAGCUCAACUUCAGACCAAUAGAAGACGCUAAAUGUGACAUUGUGGUUGAGAAACCAGCCUACUUCAUGAAAUUGGAUGCAGGUGUUAACAUGUAUCACCACUUCUGCGACUUCCUGAACCUGUACCUCACUCAGCACGUGAACAACUCCUUCAGCACCGACGUGUACGUCGUGAUGUGGGACACGGUGCGUAGGCUGCCUCGCUUCCGCUCUGGCCUUGCUCCUCACAUCUGUGGCUCCGCGUGGUGAACGGGACUCUCUAAGGCACCACAUUCAAAUAUACACGCACGCACACACGUCCACGGGCGUGCAGGUGAGCGGGGGCGUGUCUGUGUGUGUAUGCACAUGUUCAGAUGGACACAUAGGUAGGCUUACAUUUCGCUCUGGGAACUUGAGAGGGGGGCAGUGGAAGAGUUCCCUCCCCGUGUGGGCAGGGGGUGCUCCGCAGACCAAACCUGGCUCUCCCUGACCUCGGCGCCCCGCGGCCCGGGGGAGCUGCCCCUGCGUGCAGCUGUGCUGCGUGGAUGAGCUCACUACAGCGCGGGCCCGAGGCCUGCACAUCAGCACCGCACCUGCUUUUUGCUCUUUGUUUUUACUGCUGUCUUUUUUCUUUCUUCUCUCUCUUUUCCUGCCUUUAUUCUUUCAAUGCUGACCCCUCCACCUGCCAAGGUCACCCCCCAAGAGUUGCUCCCGUGCACCCGGCUGUGAAAUAGGACAGUUGUCAUCUCUACCCAAGUGUCAUUUUGAGAAUAAACCAUGUGGUGUAUGAACAGUCACAAUGCCCGACACAGCACCUGGGCUCCGAAUGUCGCUCUGACAAAGACAGU